RNAcentral lists this ribosomal RNA (767 nucleotides) under uncultured Glomus. Its description in RNAcentral is "SSU rRNA". It matches the Rfam family "Eukaryotic small subunit ribosomal RNA", at positions 342 to 1108 of the family's 1831-position model. The record is from RNAcentral. Lineage: Eukaryota; Fungi; Glomeromycota; Glomeromycetes; Glomerales; Glomeraceae.
UACCAUGGUUUUAACGGGUAACGGGGAAUUAGGGUUCGAUUCCGGAGAGGGAGCCUGAGAAACGGCUACCACAUCCAAGGAAGGCAGCAGGCGCGCAAAUUACCCAAUCCCGACACGGGGAGGUAGUGACAAUAAAUAACAAUAUGGGGCUCUUACGAGUCUUGUAAUUGGAAUGAGUACAAUUUAAAUCUCUUAACGAGGAACAAUUGGAGGGCAAGUCUGGUGCCAGCAGCCGCGGUAAUUCCAGCUCCAAUAGCGUAUAUUAAAGUUGUUGCAGUUAAAAAGCUCGUAGUUGAAUUUCGGGAUUUAUCCGUCGGUCGGGCUUUUGGGUCUGUACUGGCGUGAUGGAUUCCUACCUUCUGAAUAACCGGCAUGUCAUUAAUUUGGUGCGCCGGGGAAGCAGGACUGUUACCUUGAAAAAAUUAGAGUGCUUAAAGCAGGCUUAUGCCUGAAUACAUUAGCAUAGAAUAAUGAAAUAGGACGGCAUGGUUCUAUUUUGUUGGUUUCUAGGAUCACCGUAAUGAUUAAUAGGGAUAGUUGGGGGCAUUAGUAUUCAAUUGUCAGAGGUGAAAUUCUUGGAUUUAUUGAAGACUAACUUCUGCGAAAGCAUUUGCCAAGGAUGUUUUCAUUAAUCAAGAACGAAAGUUAGGGGAUCGAAGACGAUCAGAUACCGUCGUAGUCUUAACCAUAAACUAUGCCGACUAGGAAUCGGACGAUGUUAAUUUUUUAAUGACUCGUUCGGCGCCUUACGGGAAACCAAAGUGUUU